CCUACGGGUGGCAGCAGUGAGGAAUAUUGGUCAAUGGGCGCAAGCCUGAACCAGCCAAGUCGCGUGAGGGAAGACGGCCCUACGGGUUGUAAACCUCUUUUGCCGGGGAGCAAACCUGAGCACGUGUGCCCAUGCGGAGAGUACCCGGAGAAAAAGCAUCGGCUAACUCCGUGCCAGCAGCCGCGGUAAUACGGAGGAUGCGAGCGUUUUCCGGAUUUUUUGGGUUUAAAGGGUGCUCAGGCGGUGGUUCAAGUCAGCGGUAAAAUUUCGGGGCUCAACCCCGUACUGCCGUUGAUACUGGAUGCCUUGAGUGCGCGAGAAGUAUGCGGAAUGCGUGGUGUAGCGGUGAAAUGCAUAGAUAGCACGAAGAACUCUGAUUGCGAAGGCAGCAUACCGGCGCUCAACUGACGCUCAUGCACGAAAGUGUGGGUAUCGAACAGGAUUAGAUACCCGUGUAGUC
This 460-nucleotide ribosomal RNA is filed under the name uncultured bacterium. RNAcentral's name for it is "partial 16S ribosomal RNA". It matches the Rfam family "Bacterial small subunit ribosomal RNA", at positions 338 to 795 of the family's 1533-position model. The record is from RNAcentral.